This 245-nucleotide unclassified non-coding RNA is filed under the name uncultured Agaricomycetes. RNAcentral's name for it is "sequence contains ITS1". The record is from RNAcentral. Lineage: Eukaryota; Fungi; Basidiomycota; Agaricomycetes.
UUGAAUAAACUUGGUUUAGGUUGCUGCUGGCUUUUUGGGAGCAUGUGCACGCCUCUUCCACUUUUAACCUCCUGUGCACUUUGUAUAGACCUGGAUAACUCUCGAGUGUCAACUCGGAUCUGGAGAACUGCUGUUGAAAACAAUCACCAGCUUUUCUUGUCUUUCAGGCCUAUAUUUCUCUUAUACACUCCAUAAGAAUGUAUCAGAAUGUUGUUCAGAGGCCCUGGUGCCUUUAAAAAUACAUA